Molecule: ribosomal RNA, 1041 nt
Filed under: Salmonella enterica
Lineage: Bacteria; Pseudomonadati; Pseudomonadota; Gammaproteobacteria; Enterobacterales; Enterobacteriaceae
Description: partial 23S ribosomal RNA
Rfam family: Bacterial large subunit ribosomal RNA
Source: RNAcentral
AAGCAGAGGGGGCUUAGUGGUGGGGUGACUGCGUACCUUUUGUAUAAUGGGUCAGCGACUUAUAUUCUGUAGCAAGGUUAACCGAAUAGGGGAGCCGGAGGGAAACCGAGUCUUAACCGGGCGUUAAGUUGCAGGGUAUAGACCCGAAACCCGGUGAUCUAGCCAUGGGCAGGUUGAAGGUUGGGUAACACUAACUGGAGGACCGAACCGACUAAUGUUGAAAAAUUAGCGGAUGACCUGUGGCUGGGGGUGAAAGGCCAAUCAAACCGGGAGAUAGCUGGUUCUCCCCGAAAGCUAUUUAGGUAGCGCCUCGUGAAUUCAUCUCCGGGGGUAGAGCACUGUUUCGGCUAGGGGGUCAUCCCGACUUACCAACCCGAUGCAAACUGCGAAUACCGGAGAAUGUUAUCACGGGAGACACACGGCGGGUGCUAACGUCCGUCGUGAAGAGGGAAACAACCCAGACCGCCAGCUAAGGUCCCAAAGUCAUGGUUAAGUGGGAAACGAUGUGGGAAGGCCCAGACAGCCAGGAUGUUGGCUUAGAAGCAGCCAUCAUUUAAAGAAAGCGUAAUAGCUCACUGGUCGAGUCGGCCUGCGCGGAAGAUGUAACGGGGCUAAACCAUGCACCGAAGCUGCGGCAGCGACACUAUGUGUUGUUGGGUAGGGGAGCGUUCUGUAAGCCUGCGAAGGUGUCUCGUGAGGGAUGCUGGAGGUAUCAGAAGUGCGAAUGCUGACAUAAGUAACGAUAAUGCGGGUGAAAAACCCGCACGCCGGAAGACCAAGGGUUCCUGUCCAACGUUAAUCGGGGCAGGGUGAGUCGACCCCUAAGGCGAGGCCGAAAGGCGUAGUCGAUGGGAAACAGGUUAAUAUUCCUGUACUUGGUGUUACUGCGAAGGGGGGACGGAGAAGGCUAUGUUGGCCGGGCGACGGUUGUCCCGGUUUAAGCGUGUAGGUGUGUGUUCCAGGUAAAUCCGGUUCACUUUAACACUGAGGCGUGAUGACGAGGCACUACGGUGCUGAAGCAACAAAUGCCCUGCUUCCAGG